UACAGAGGUGGCAAGCGUUGUUCGGAAUUACUGGGCGUAAAGGGCGCGUAGGCGGCCUACUAAGUCAGACGUGAAAUCCCCCGGCUUAACCUGGGAACUGCGUCUGAUACUGGAAGGCUUGAGGAUGGGAGAGGGAUGUAGAAUUCCAGGUGUAGCGGUGAAAUGCGUAGAUAUCUGGAGGAAUACCGGUGGCGAAGGCGGCAUCCUGGACCAUUACUGACGCUGAGGAGCGAAAGCGUGGGGAGCGAACAGG
RNAcentral lists this ribosomal RNA (253 nucleotides) under uncultured bacterium. RNAcentral describes it as "partial 16S ribosomal RNA". It matches the Rfam family "Bacterial small subunit ribosomal RNA", at positions 524 to 776 of the family's 1533-position model. The record is from RNAcentral.